GGUGAGAUGGCUCAGUGGUUAAGAGCACUGACUGAUCUUCUGAAGGUCCUGAGUUCAAAUCCCAGCAACUACA
This 73-nucleotide transfer RNA is filed under the name Mus musculus (house mouse). RNAcentral's name for it is "tRNA-Ile". Lineage: Eukaryota; Metazoa; Chordata; Mammalia; Rodentia; Muridae. The record is from RNAcentral.